UACGGAGGGUGCAAGCGUUGCUCGGAAUUAUUGGGCGUAAAGGGUAGGUAGGUGGUCUCAUUUGUCUGGGGUGAAAUCCUUGAGCUUAACUCAAGAAGUGCCUCAGAAACGGUGAGACUAGAGUUCUGGAGAGGGUCGUGGAAUUCCCGGUGUAGCGGUGAAAUGCGUAGAGAUCGGGAGGAAGGCCGGUGGCGAAGGCGGCGCUCUGGAACAUUUCUGACGCUGAGGCUCGAAAGCGUGGGGAGCAAACAGG
RNAcentral lists this ribosomal RNA (253 nucleotides) under uncultured bacterium. RNAcentral's name for it is "partial 16S ribosomal RNA". It matches the Rfam family "Bacterial small subunit ribosomal RNA", at positions 524 to 776 of the family's 1533-position model. The record is from RNAcentral.